This 443-nucleotide ribosomal RNA is filed under the name uncultured bacterium. Its description in RNAcentral is "partial 16S ribosomal RNA". It matches the Rfam family "Bacterial small subunit ribosomal RNA", at positions 338 to 795 of the family's 1533-position model. The record is from RNAcentral.
CCUACGGGAGACAGCAGUGGGGAAUAUUGCACAAUGGGCGAAAGCCUGAUGCAGCAACGCCGCGUGAAGGAAGAAGGGUUUCGGCUCGUAAACUUCUAUCAACAGGGACGAAAGAAAUGACGCUACCUGAAUAAGAAGCCCCGGCUAACUACGUGCCAGCAGCCGCGGUAAUACGGAGGGGGCAAGCGUUAUCCGGAAUUACUGGGUGUAAAGGGUGAGUAGGCGGCAUGGUAAGCCAGAUGUGAAAGCCUUGGGCUUAAACCGAGGAUUGCAUUUGGAACUAUCAAGCUAGAGUACAGGAGAGGAAAGCGGAAUGCCUAGGGUAGCGGGGAAAUGCGGAGAUAUUAGGAAGAACACCAGUGGCGAAGGCGGCUUUCUGGACUGAAACUGACGCUGAGGCACGAAAGCGUGGGGAGCGAACAGGAUUAGAUACCCCAGUAGUC